CUCCGGGUGAUCCUGCCGGACCUGACUGCUAUCGGAACGGGACUAAGCCAUGCGAGUUUGCCAAUCAGAGCACGGUGGUUGGCGGCGAACGGCUCAGUAACACGUAGUCAACCUGCCCUUGGGUCGAGGAUAAUCUCGGGAAACUGAGGCUAAUACUCGAUAGGUCAAGAUUCCUGGAAUGGGUUUUGGUCAAAAUGAGGUAACAGCAUCUUUGUUAUUUUCGCCCAAGGAUGGGACUGCGGCCGAUCAGGCUGUUGGUGGGGUAAAGGCCCACCAAACCAGUAACCGGUACGGGCUUUGAGAGAAGGAGCCCGGAGAUGGACACUGAGACAAGGGUCCAGGUCCUACGGGGCGCAGCAGGCGCGAAACCUUCGCAAUGCGCGCAAGCGCGACGAGGUUAUUCCGAGUGAUUCCCGCUGAGGGAAUCUUUUCUCAGAUCUAAAACGUCUGGGGAAUAAGGGGAGGGCAAGUCUGGUGUCAGCCGCCGCGGUAAUACCAGCUCCUCGAGUGGUCAGGGCGUUUAUUGGGCCUAAAGCAUCCGUAGCCUGCUCGGUAGGUCUCCUGUUAAAUCCAACGGCUCAACCGUUGGUCUGCAGGAGAUACCGCCGGGCUAGGAGGCGGGAGAGGCGGACGGUACUCCGAGGGUAGGGGUAAAAUCCUUUGAUCCCCGGAAGACCACCAGUGGCGAAGGCGGUCCGCCAGAACGCGCUCGACGGUGAGGGAUGAAAGCUGGGGGAGCGAACCGGAUUAGAUACCCGGGUAGUCCCAGCUGUAAACGAUGCGAGCUAGGUGACACGACGCCUUCGGGGCAUCGUGGUGCCGCAGGGAAGCCGUUAAGCUCGCCGCCUGGGGAGUACGGACGCAAGUCUGAAACUUAAAGGAAUUGGCGGGGGAGCA
RNAcentral lists this ribosomal RNA (897 nucleotides) under uncultured archaeon. Its description in RNAcentral is "bacterial SSU rRNA". It matches the Rfam family "Archaeal small subunit ribosomal RNA", at positions 1 to 878 of the family's 1478-position model. The record is from RNAcentral.